UAGGCAUGUUUUUCUUCCAUGGAAAAGGAAACUACGGCAAAUGGUAUUUAAGUAGGCAGAGGACCAUUCCGGGGACUUGCUUUAGUGCCAUCAAGGCCACAUUCCUUUGGUCAUCAGACCAGUAGGUGACUUCUUUAUUGGCAUGCUCUACCCUGGAGCCCAGAAGGUGUGAAUUUGAAGCACUUUCCCCCCUGCUGGGAGCCUGGCACAGAUGCUCUGGGCUUCUUUUAAAACCAUGGAGUGCCAUGGUUGUCUUCCAAGUGGUCUUCUUUCUGCUGGGCAAAGCCUUGGCCCAGAGUAGUUACUUAAAGAAGGCUGCUUGGGAAGCGGGGUACAGGAUAAGGUGGCUGCCUGGCCUCGCAUUCUCAAGCCAUCUUUCUGGAAGUUGCGAGGUUCUCCAUGUGGUAGACUUUAUGAGUCAGCUGCUCCAGGACCUGUAUAUAUCUCUCACUUCUGGUCAGGUCUAGGCUCAUAUGGUGCAACUGGUUGUGAGAAACUUUUGUGAGUCUGUGUUUGUUGGAUGUAGCAGAGUGGGGAUCCAAGACUCCCUGGGUCUGCCUAGGGCAUACAGGGUCUCAUGAGUUACCAUCUGAGCUGUUCUAGAAACAUUUCUGGGUCUGGGGGCAGGAAAACGUUGGGAGCUAUGUGCAUUGCUGCAGUGGAGACCUGUCAGUAUCCAGAAACAACCCCAGUCAGUCUCCAGAGCAUUGGUGGGAAACCCCCCUCCCUGUGAGAGUUUCCAGGUGUGUGAAUACCCCCAUGCAUUACCAUCACAGGGGCAGUGGGGGUGGGCUGGUGGGUGCUCAUCUCACUUGGCUGCACACCCCAGAGAAAAGAACCCAGUUGUUGGCCACUCCAGGUCCAGGCUUGGCUGCUGCUCUGUUUUGCUGCUUUUCAUGUUGUCAGAGGAUCUUCUUGGGAACAAAUGACUCAGCAACCUGAGUCUCUGGGACUGAGUGGCCUAAGCGCCUUUUGAGAAGUGAUUGGACGUAUCCACCUAGGCCCUAAAAUUCUGAGCCCAGGAAGAAUGGAGAUCCAGACUGCUUUUCUCUAGUUUCUUCAGGCUGCAGCUCAGGUUGGUUUCUCCAUUUCCUCCCCAAUAGAAGGAUCUCACUCAUGGCCUAAGCAGGCAAUGUUUUAAUUAUGCUUUUUGUCCAUAGGAAAUUCUAAGGAGAAAAAGGUCCUGGUCUGUGGCCCAAAAAGCAAAAAACAACAAAAAUCAGCUACGACUGUAGUUCUGGACUUAACUGUGGCAGAAAGAGUUAAUACGAUGGUGGUCUCAGGGUGAGGACCAUUUUUUUCUCACGUCUGGGAGAAGCUCAUAUGGCUCAAGAAAAGAUGACGCAACAUUUAGUGUGGGACAGCCCUGUCUGGGUUCUGGGCGCUGUCACUCAAAGAGUUAAGCUAGUCUUGUGGCUGGGAAGCCCUUAGGGAAGGCGUAGGCCUGCAGGGACCAGGCCCUCUAUGCCCCAGAGCGUGAGGUGUAGGGUAAAAAAUGGGCUGAAAAGUGUGGCCAGGGAAGCGGAGUGUAGGCCCAACUUUUUUUUGCCUUGUUUGACCAGCCUUGGCACUGCCCUCCGGCUCUCCAGGGGAAAAGCUGCAGUUCUGCUCUUGCAACACAAGGAGCAGACUGGAGAAUUUAGAUCUGCGUCACAGAGCUCAGAGAGAGAGAGAGAGGAGAGAGAGAGCGCUCCGUGGAUAGGUCUGCUAGCAACAGCCGUGCUGCAGCAGAGAGAGAGAGAGAGAAAUCAAGAAACAAGUCAUAGCAACACCGGGCACCAGGUUCUGCCAGCUCACUUGCCAAGCGUUCAGAAAUCUGUCGGGGGCUGGAGGCCUCUGGGUAGCCUAGGCUAAGGAGAUGACACGCAAGGUGGCACGGGCGGUUCCCGCGGGGAGGAGGUGGGGUGGUGGUGGGGGGCAGGGGUGGGAGAAGGAGGUUGCGGGGCGAUGGUGGAAGGUUUAACGGGACCAAUUUCUGGAACAUUCGGGACUGCGGCACCUUACAGCCGGACCGAAAUUGGGGUCUGUGCAGGCGACGAUGGGUGGUCCGACGGGCUUCAGGACUUGAUGGCGUAACCCCCUUCUUCACCCACGUACGUAUUUGCUGGGAUCAGGGGCGAUGUCUCUGCGUAUGUGGGUGCUCUGUCUUUCUCACCUUCUUUCUUGUUUUUUGCUAUUUUUUCUCUGAGAGAGGGUUUUUUUUCCACUUUAAUUUCUUUUCCCUAGUGUCAGCUGCUCAAGCCUGACCAGGGUAGAGGAGAGAGGAGCAAGCUGUCCCCGGCGUCCCACCUGACCUACCAGCCUUUACCCCCAUUUUCUUCUGUUGGACAGACAGACAGACUGGUAUUCCGGGUUGUUUGGGUAUCAGCGUCUGUCUGUCCGUCCAUGCAGUUCUUAGGUGGAAGGUAGGGAGUGAGGAGGAGAAGUGCUGAGAGGAAGGCAAGAAGGACGAUUUUCCAGGGGGUGCCUUAUUGAAGUGUUGGGCUGGUGGAGAGCAGGUGGGCAGGAUGGGGCGUGGGCUGGGAGAAGUGGGGUAAAGCUGGUAGGUUUGUCACUGCGUAGUUGGGAAAAGUGGGGAAUGGUGACGCAGUCACUGUUGGAUCUUGUUAGGAGCUCUAGGGGGACAGGUAGUGAGGCUCACGGGGUCUGUAGGGCCAGCUGAGAGGGGUUAAGGAUGAGCUGAGAAGGGAAGCUAGCAUUUAGAGAUUAAAUGUCAUCCUUUUGGCGUUGGAAAGUUGUUUACCUUGCGCUCUCUGUGUCUCCAUGUUGGCACCCUUCCAGUUCACAUGUGAUGGCCUUCCUUGUACUGCUGCAUCAUUAACUAAGUGACUGAGCUGGCCUUCCAUUGGCCAGGGGAGGGCUCUCACUCCAGACACCUCCUCUGAUUGGUGGGUGGGCCAAUGGCAGGUGAAAACCUUUUUUUGAUUGGCUGAGGGCAGGGUAUCAAAUCUGAAUUUGCAUUUCACUUGCUUAAAGGGGAGGGGGGGAGAAGCCUAGCAGCUUUCUAAAAUCUGUUUAGGGGUGUGCGUAUGCUCCUGUGUCUGUACCUGUUUUUGACUGACCAGUUGAAGCCUCUUCCUAUGUCUUUUUUUAUCUCAUGCACUAUAGGGAAGAGGAGCUGAAGGCUUCCCAAACUUUUUUUGGAGGAGCAGGGGUUGGGCAGAUGGGUGUGCAGAGGGUUGACCAAACUGGAAGAGAAUAUUUGUUCUUUAGUUUGGUGUCGGAAAAGGGAAUUUUCCAAUCAGCCACACCUCAGUGUUGCGGCAAAAUAAUUCUUGGCUCCCCUGGAAACGCAUGGGCAAGGUAGGGCAGAGCUGCUGCUGCUGAUAUUGCCACCACCCUGGGCUUCCUGCUGACUCUGGGUUACUCCCCGGGGACAAGAGAUUUGCAUUGACGUCCGGGGCUGUCCAGAGCUGAGCCCAGUAUGGAAAGGACCUGCCUUCUGGAAGCUGCUGCUCCCUGGUGCUUGGAAAGGUACCAUGGCAGGGUCUCUCACUGCGGUUAUUUCACUUACUCCUUACCACACCCUGCGAGGAGAGUCCCAUGGCUGGACGACGCCGUGGGAAUGGAGCCGUGAGAACUGGUGGUGGCAGAGUGAGGGUUAACCAGUGAGCCUUCCUGGGAGCCUUUCGAUGCCAGUGUGUCGGGAGCCGGGCGAUGGAGCGCUCAGCCGGGUGGCCAGGACGUUCUGUCAACAUGAAAGCAGCAAGAACAGCUUGUCGGGGCUCGGAGCUGACCCUUAGGCUUGGGGUCAUUCUCAGGAAGAGCUUGGCAUAGAAGAAGGCCACUGCUGGACAUCAGGGUGGGGGCGACACCAGAGAACUCAGCGGAGUUCAGCUCUAUGAGUAGGUGACAACCUCCUGGAGACUCGGGCUCAGCCGAAGAUGGUGCUGGUAAGCAUAAGACAGCCGUCAUACUGUCGGAUAGAAGAGCCUGUUUGCAUUUAUUUGGAACAAAAAAAGGGGAUGCCUGGCAGCCUGAUUCUCUGCACCUCCAAAAGAAUUUAAUCUGCUGGACAACAAACAAUACUGUUAUAAAACUUUGAAAACAAGAGGGCGAGGCCUCCCUGACGAGGAGAAGGGCAUGCCGGGUAGUGGCCGAGAGAGCCUGCCAGGCCGAGAUGGAGCCGGGCGAAAGCCCAGUUGGCUGGGUACCUGGGCGCCUGCCCCUGCCCAGCCUGCCAUCCACGCCAUCCACACCAUCCCCCGUCCAGAAGGGAAGGAACCAAAAUGAAAGCAGGGCAGAGACGCGCUUGAAAAAGGGAAGUUGUACGUGUUCCCCUCUCUCUGAUCUGAUGAGAAUGCACUAGACUGUGAAACUUCCUCCCCUCCCUCCCUCCCCCUCUCUCCCUCCUCUCUCCUCCCUCCUCCUCCUGCCUCCUCCUACCACUCACUGUUCCCGGUCCUGAGACUGGCAGACAUAGGUCCUGAUAACAGAAUGAGGCUGGCAUAGCACUGUAGGUACAGCUACCAGCCGGGCCAGCUGCAGGGGAAGCAGGAGAGAAAGGUGCUCCAAGUUGGCUUUGGACUCUGGACCUACCCUCUGUCUGCCCAGCCUCCCUCCCCCAACUAGGGAAGUGGAACCGUGUCACGGGGUGUGCCCCAGUUCAUGUGCUCCGCCAGGUGUGUGCCCAGGUACUGGGUAGAACCGCCACUUGGAGGUUCGUGGGUACACCCCAGGCUUCCUGGUGCCCGCUGGGGGUCAUGCUCUGGGGAGGAUGUCUGACUUGAGGAGAUGCUCUGUUCUCCCUCCAGGAGGAGUAGGGGUUGUGCUGCUGAGGCUGGGGCAUGCCUCUGGAGGGGCUCAUGGGGACAGGAACAUGCUUCUCCCAGCAAGCAGGCACAUGGUCCUGUGAGUGAGGUGCCUGGUGGGAUACUGCAUCUGCUAGUUACUUGGUGGCUGAAGGAGAGGGCCACCCAGCUCUACCUGGGGAGGUGGGGAGCUGGGCUCUGGGGCAUCUCUCUCGCAAUCUGCAGAGUUAGAUUUCACCUGAGACUGAAGUUUCACUUCUGAGUCCAUCAUUACUGAGUCAAGUAAAUGAUUUGGGAGUGACAAGGGAGCAAUGUUGGUGGUUUUCCUUUGGAUCCGCUUUGGUUUGGACCUGUGAACUGUGUGGUGGGCAUUGUAUUUGUGUAAUAGACCGUAGGCAUGCUCGCUUUUCCUCUUGUGGAAAGCACUAGCUUCCUUGAAAGCAAUUCACGGUUGUGCCCAUCCUCCUCCACCAGGGCUAAGCCAUUCUCUAGGGGAACAUGCAGACAUCCGUGCUCCCAUCUUCACUCCAUCCGUCCUCCUUCCCCUUGCUCCCCACUGUCUCUUGCUGCCCCUGACGCCCCAUGACAUCCCAGGGCAGAGUAGCCUUGGUGCAUCCUCUCAGCCAGCCAGCCCGCCCCACCGAGGGCUUCUGUGCCCUGUACUGUGUCUGGGAGGUUUCCAGACCCAGGUUUUCACCAGUGGUGUUGAGGAAGGGACAGAGAACCUAACUUUGUGGAAAGC
Molecule: non-coding RNA, 5493 nt
Organism: Ceratotherium simum simum (southern white rhinoceros)
Lineage: Eukaryota; Metazoa; Chordata; Mammalia; Perissodactyla; Rhinocerotidae
Source: RefSeq, a predicted model, not a curated record